CGUUGAUCCUGCCGGAGGCCGCUGCUAUCCGGCUGGGACUAAGCCAUGCUAGUCUAGGGGCUUGUACCCCUUCGGGGGUGCAAGCACCGGCGGACGGCUCAGUAACACGUGGACAACCUGCCCUCGGGUGGGGGAUAACCCCGGGAAACUGGGGCUAAUCCCCCAUAGGUGAUGGGUGCUGGAAUGCCCCAUCUCCGAAAGCGCUCAGCGCCCGAGGAUGGGUCUGCGGCGGAUUAGGUAGUUGGUGGGGUAACGGCCCACCAAGCCUAAGAUCCGUACGGGCUGUGGGAGCAGGAGCCCGGAGAUGGACCCUGAGACAAGGGUCCAGGCCCUACGGGGCGCAGCAGGCGCGAAACCUCCGCAAUGCGGGAAACCGCGACGGGGUUAGCCGGAGUGCCCGUGCAUUGCACGGGCUGUCGGGGUGCCUAAACAGCACCCCAUAGCAAGGGCCGGGCAAGGCCGGUGGCAGCCGCCGCGGUAAGACCGGCGGCCCGAGUGGCGGCCACUCUUAUUGGGCCUAAAGCGUCCGUAGCCGGCCCAGUAAGUCCCCCGGGAAAUCUGGUCGCUUAACGAUCAUACUUCCGGGGGAUACUGCUGGGCUAGGGACCGGGAGAGGCCGAGGGUAUUCCCGGGGUAGGGGUGAAAUCCUGUAAUCCCGGGAGGACCACCUGUGGCGAAGGCGCUCGGCUGGAACGGGUCCGACGGUGAGGGACGAAGGCCUGGGGAGCGAACCGGAUUAGAUACCCGGGUAGUCCAGGCUGUAAACGAUGCGGGCUAGGUGUCACCGGAGCUACGAGCUCCGGUGGUGCCGGAGGGAAGCCGUUAAGCCCGCCGCCUGGGAAGUACGGCCGCAAGGCUGAAACUUAAAGGAAUUGGCGGGGGAGCAC
RNAcentral lists this ribosomal RNA (887 nucleotides) under uncultured euryarchaeote. RNAcentral describes it as "bacterial SSU rRNA". It matches the Rfam family "Archaeal small subunit ribosomal RNA", at positions 6 to 879 of the family's 1478-position model. Lineage: Archaea; Methanobacteriati; Methanobacteriota. The record is from RNAcentral.